GGGGUCCGCAUUUCUAAUUCAUUUGCAAUUGAGGCAUAGAGCUUGAUCUAGACAAUAGAUGGUGUGGAAUAUGCACUAGUCUCAAGUGCUUUUUAAUACAUCUGAUGUUACUUGUAAUGUGUCACCAUCCUCAAUACAGUGAGUACAGGCCAAUGCCAAUACAGUGAGUACAGGCCAAUGCCAAUACAGUGAAGACAGGCCAAUUCCAAUACAGUGAGUACAGGCCAAUGCCAAUACAGUGAAGACAGGCCAAUGCAAAUACAGUGAAGACAGACGGUACAGAAAAAAGUAUUACAUAAGGGUUCUUCGGGUGUCCGCAUAGGAGAACUCUUUAAGGUUCCAGGUAGAACCCUUUUUGGUUUCAGGUAGAACUCUUUGGGGUUCCAUGUAGAACCCUCUGUGGAAAGGGUUCUACCUGGAACCAAAAAGGGUUCUUCAAAGGGUUCUCCAAUGGGGACAGCCGGAGAAGCCUUUUAGGUUCUAGAUAGCACUUUUUUUCUAAGAGUGUACUGACCAAUGCCAACACAGCGAAGACAGACCAUUACCAAUACAUCUUGAACAAUGCCUAUGUGAUUUAUAGUUCUUAUAUUUGUACCUUUAGCUGAGCCUCCAGAUAUAGACUUCUUGUGGAGUGACUGAGUGGAAGAAAAAAAGGGGGAUAUAGAGAGGAGUGACUA
Molecule: long non-coding RNA, 677 nt
Filed under: Salmo salar (Atlantic salmon)
Lineage: Eukaryota; Metazoa; Chordata; Actinopteri; Salmoniformes; Salmonidae
Description: lncRNA (ENSSSAG00000084209.1)
Source: RNAcentral